GAUAAGUUCAAUCAAUAUAUUUUGCACCGCCAACUUAUCAUCGAAGAGGGCCAAGUGAAAUUGUGCUUAAAAAAAAAGAAUUAGUAAAGAACAGGAGAAAAAAAUUCAGCAACGAAUAUGAACGACUGGGCCGCCUACAUAGCCCCUUUCAAUGAGAGACGCCGCAUCGCCGAGCCAGACCCGGCGCACAUCUAUGGUUUGCAUCACAUGGAGAGCCUCUGCAUGAACAAUCUCUUCUCGGACGUGUCUUUCCUCGUGGAGGGGCAGCGCCUGCCGGCGCACCGCCAUAUUCUAGCGAAUCGCAGUCAGUACUUCGGGGAACUGCUCUUCGGUGGCAUGUGCAAUUCAAAGGGUAAACUGAUUCCGCUGGAGGUGCCGCUGGAGGCAUUCAAAGUAAUACUGCGCUACGUUUACUCGGGCCCUGUGCCCUUAUCCUUGGAUACGGAUGCUAUCGUGCAAUUGCUCGAUUUGGCCACUAUGUAUGGCUUGCUGGAACUCAGGGAGGUCAUAACCAGAUACCUAAACGGCCGUAGUGUUUCUUAGAUGACCCUGUUCAGAAAAAGGCCGUCAGGCAAGGAACUGGAGCGGGCGUGCAUAAAAGACAAAUAUCUUCUCAACAAUUCCAAACAAUCCAGCAUACCCGAUUUGUGCUACAAAAUCAAAGGAUGUACUCAAGCUGACUUGAGUUGCAGGAACAGAGUGCACACCUCCUCGCCAGUUAAUACAAAUUAAUACUUCACUCCGCAAUAUUCUUUCUCUAUUCAACUUGGAGGUGCAUCAGAUGGAGAGUAAAAAUAGUACGCUCCAUAUCCCACCUAUUCUAACCUACGUUCCUAUCCAAAAACAUCGUUUUUCAAUUGUAUCCCUGGUAUAAGGCAGCCCAGUUUUAUGUGUCAAAGUCUACAGAGAACUUCGGAACUAAAAAUACAACUAAAAUUCGAUUGAAAUAAAAUUUCAAACUUCUACAAUCAAAAUGAUUCGCCCCUUGCAGCCUGAUAUGCGUGCGGUCGAAGAGGUGGCCAAAAAAGAAGUUCAAGCAAAUAUUUUCUUAUUUGUUCUGACCUGUGCCCUGAUACGCUUUGUGCCAAAAAUCAUAUGCAAGAUCUUUUAGAGGUCUUUUAGAGAUCAUACACUGGAGGGCGCGGCUGAGAGUACAAUAUUCGAAAUUCAUAAUCCACACUGACACAAAAUGUUCACUACCAGAGAUUCAAUUCAGACAUAAUGCAUUUGUUAAUUAUCUAAGCACUCGUUUAUAAUAAACAUAAGGGGUACCAAGCAGA
Molecule: RNA transcript, 1280 nt
Organism: Drosophila miranda
Lineage: Eukaryota; Metazoa; Arthropoda; Insecta; Diptera; Drosophilidae
Exons: 5
Source: RefSeq, a predicted model, not a curated record